Molecule: long non-coding RNA, 275 nt
Organism: Nicotiana attenuata
Lineage: Eukaryota; Viridiplantae; Streptophyta; Magnoliopsida; Solanales; Solanaceae
Exons: 3
Source: RefSeq, a predicted model, not a curated record
UCAAGAACUCUCAAGCCUUCGAGAGUUCAUAGAUGAUUCUGUGAAGAGUGUUAUGAAGGUGAUAAACAGGAGGUACGAUGUGGACGAGUCAAAGUUUGCUGGUAGUUCAACCAAAAAUAAUGACCAACAACAAGGAGAGAACAACCAGCAAUUUCAGUUCAAUAUUGGUGAUCAAAUGCAUGCAAGCACAAGCAAUACAGCUGCAGUUUCUCCGGAACAUGUUCAAGCACAUGUUGACUUAUAUCCUGAUUUUCAAGAAGCAUCUGGGGCAGAUA